GGAGUUGUAGCUCAGUGGUAGAGUGCUUGCCUUGCAUGCAUGAGGCCCUGGGUUCGAUCCUCAGCACCA
This 69-nucleotide transfer RNA is filed under the name Ictidomys tridecemlineatus (thirteen-lined ground squirrel). RNAcentral's name for it is "Spermophilus tridecemlineatus (thirteen-lined ground squirrel) tRNA". It matches the Rfam family "tRNA". From Rfam's summary of the family: Transfer RNA (tRNA) molecules are approximately 80 nucleotides in length. Lineage: Eukaryota; Metazoa; Chordata; Mammalia; Rodentia; Sciuridae. The record is from Rfam by way of RNAcentral.